RNAcentral lists this ribosomal RNA (811 nucleotides) under uncultured bacterium. RNAcentral describes it as "bacterial SSU rRNA". It matches the Rfam family "Bacterial small subunit ribosomal RNA", at positions 8 to 796 of the family's 1533-position model. The record is from RNAcentral.
AGAGUUUGAUCAUGGCUCAGAACGAACGCUGGCGGCGUGCCUAACACAUGCAAGUCGAACGGAAUUAAGGGGCUUGCUCCUUGAUUUAGUGGCGCACGGGUGAGUAAUGCGUAGAUAAUCUACCCAAGGAUCCGGGAUAACAUCUCGAAAGGGGUGCUAAUACCGGAUAAGCCCACGGAGUCUUCGGACUCAGCGGGAAAAGGGGGGGACCUUCGGGCCUUCUGUCCUCGGAUGAGUCUACGUACCAUUAGCUAGUUGGUGGGGUAAAGGCCUACCAAGGCGACGAUGGUUAGCUGGUCUGAGAGGAUGAUCAGCCACACUGGAACUGAGACACGGUCCAGACUCCUACGGGAGGCAGCAGUGGGGAAUUUUGCGCAAUGGGGGAAACCCUGACGCAGCAACGCCGCGUGAGUGAUGAAGGCCUUCGGGUCGUAAAGCUCUGUCAGUGGGAAAGAAAUGUACGAGGGUCAAUACCCCUUGUACUUGACGGUACCCACAAAGGAAGCACCGGCUAACUCCGUGCCAGCAGCCGCGGUAAUACGGAGGGUGCGAGCGUUGUUCGGAAUUAUUGGGCGUAAAGCGCGUGUAGGCGGCUCCUUAAGUCUGAUGUGAAAGCCCCGGGCUCAACCUGGGAAGUGCAUUGGAAACUGGGGAACUUGAAUACGGGAGAGGGUAGUGGAAUUCCUGGUGUAGGAGUGAAAUCCGUAGAUAUCAGGAGGAACACCGGUGGCGAAGGCGGCUACCUGGACCGAUAUUGACGCUGAGACGCGAAAGCGUGGGGAGCAAACAGGAUUAGAUACCCUAGUAGUCC